Long non-coding RNA from Podarcis raffonei (Aeolian wall lizard), 698 nucleotides. RefSeq lists it as uncharacterized. NCBI's taxonomy places the organism in Eukaryota, Metazoa, Chordata, Lepidosauria, Squamata, Lacertidae. The record is from RefSeq and is a predicted model, not a curated record. The transcript has 2 exons.
UGCUCUUAGGACCAAUUUUAUUUUUAUUGCUUCUUUGCUUCUGUAUUCCCUGCUUGGUGCAAUGCUUGCAAAAUAUGGUGCACAAAACAAUGUCGCGCAUGAUGGGUCCCCGAGUGAUAGCUUUGAUGCGUGAAUACCAGCCUAUUGCCUUGGACGAGCCAGAAGGCUGUCCAAAAGAAGAGGAGGGAAUGAAGGAAGGGACGGUUUAGCUCUGUCACAAUAUAGAUUCCAAUAAAGAUUGCUUAAGCAGCUUUGGCUUUAGAUUCCAAUAAAGAUUGCUUAAGCAGGUUUGGCUUGUGACACUGGUCAAGUAAAGAAUAAGAGGAGCCACGUAGGCUCAAAAGACAGGGAAAUGGGUAAGGAACGUGCUUAACGUGAUUAUCCUCCUAAGGUGUACCUAUAGGUUGGCAAUUGGUGAUUGGUGGAAGGAAGGUGUACCUAUAGGUUGGCAAUUGCUGAUUGGUGGAGAAAUGUGUACCUACAGUAUAAGAAUGCCUGCCAAAUGCCAUGUAUUUACAGCCAGUGUAUUUUCAGGAGCUAUCCAACUGGUUGUCUCUGUGUACAAAAUGUCUUUGUACACAGAUUUCAAUAAACUCUUUUUCUCCAAAGAAGAUUUUGCUUUCCUGGUACUUUUGUUCCCUCCAAGGUCCGGGGAUGGCGUGGCUGAUGGAUCCCUAGGUAAAUAAGGCUUCAGUAUG